RNAcentral lists this ribosomal RNA (432 nucleotides) under uncultured bacterium. Its description in RNAcentral is "partial 16S ribosomal RNA". It matches the Rfam family "Bacterial small subunit ribosomal RNA", at positions 29 to 507 of the family's 1533-position model. The record is from RNAcentral.
ACGAACGCUGGCGGCAGGCCUCACCCAUGCCAGUCGCGCGAGGACUUCGGUUCUAGCGGCGGACGGGUGAGUAACGCGUGGGAAUGUGCCCUUCUCUACGGAAUAGCCCUGGGAAACUGGGAGUAAUACCGUAUACGCCCUAUUGGGGAAAGAUUUAUCGGAGAAGGAUCAGCCCGCGUUGGAUUAGGUAGUUGGUGGGGUAAUGGCCUACCAAGCCGACGAUCCAUAGCUGGUUUGAGAGGAUGAUCAGCCACACUGGGACUGAGACACGGCCCAGACUCCUACGGGAGGCAGCAGUGGGGAAUCUUAGACAAUGGGGGCAACCCUGAUCGAGCCAUGCCGCGUGAGUGAUGAAGGCCUUAGGGUUGUAAAGCUCUUUCAGCUGGGAAGAUAAUGACGGUACCAGCAGAAGAAGCCCCGGCUAACUCCGUG